AUUGAACGCUGGCGGCAGGCCUAACACAUGCGAGUCGAGUGGAUGAAGGGAGCUUGCUCCUGGAUUCAGCGGCGGACGGGUGAGUAAUGCCUAGGAAUCUGCCUGGUAGUGGGGGAUAACGUCCGGAAACGGGCGCUAAUACCGCAUACGUCCUGAGGGAGAAAGUGGGGGAUCUUCGGACCUCACGCUAUCAGAUGAGCCUAGGUCGGAUUAGCUAGUUGGUGGGGUAAAGGCCUACCAAGGCGACGAUCCGUAACUGGUCUGAGAGGAUGAUCAGUCACACUGGAACUGAGACACGGUCCAGACUCCUACGGGAGGCAGCAGUGGGGAAUAUUGGACAAUGGGCGAAAGCCUGAUCCAGCCAUGCCGCGUGUGUGAAGAAGGUCUUCGGAUUGUAAAGCACUUUAAGUUGGGAGGAAGGGCAGUAAGUUAAUACCUUGCUGUUUUGACGUUACCAACAGAAUAAGCACCGGCUAACUUCGUG
RNAcentral lists this ribosomal RNA (484 nucleotides) under uncultured bacterium. RNAcentral's name for it is "partial 16S ribosomal RNA". It matches the Rfam family "Bacterial small subunit ribosomal RNA", at positions 30 to 507 of the family's 1533-position model. The record is from RNAcentral.